GCCUGCGUAUGAUUAGCUUGUUGGUGAGGUAAUGGCUCACCAAGGCGACGAUCAUUAGCUGGUCUGAGAGGAUGAUCAGCCUGACUGGGACUGAGACACGGCCCAGACUCCUACGGGAGGCAGCAGUGGGGAAUCUUGCGCAAUGGGCGAAAGCCUGACGCAGCGACGCCGUGUGCGGGAAGAAGGCCUUCGGGUUGUAAACCGCUUUCAGGAGGGACGAAGCCACUCAGGUUAAUAGCCGAGAGGGUGACGGUACCUCCAGAAGAAGCCCCGGCUAACUACGUGCCAGCAGCCGCGGUAAUACGUAGGGGGCUAGCGUUGUCCGGAUUUAUUGGGCGUAAAGAGCGUGUAGGCGGCCGGGUAAGUCCGGUGUGAAAACUCGAGGCUUAACCUCGAGAUGUCAUCGGAAACUAUUCGGCUAGAGUCCGGAAGAGGAGAGUGGAAUUCCUGGUGUAGCGGUGAAAUGCGCAGAUAUCAGGAAGAACACCUAUGGCGAAAGCAGCUCUCUGGGACGGUACUGACGCUGAGACGCGAAAGCGUGGGGAGCGAACAGGAUUAGAUACCCUGGUAGUCCACGCCGUAAACGAUGGGUGCUAGGUGU
This 601-nucleotide ribosomal RNA is filed under the name uncultured soil bacterium. RNAcentral's name for it is "bacterial SSU rRNA". It matches the Rfam family "Bacterial small subunit ribosomal RNA", at positions 229 to 823 of the family's 1533-position model. The record is from RNAcentral.